GCCAUUUCAACUCGAACUUUCAAUCCACAACGUUUAGCCAACUCCACAAUCUCCAAAUACCCUUCCCAAUUAUAAACCCUAGGCAAUUCACUCUCCACCAGUCCCCACCAUACCUCCAUCACAACUCCUUCAACACCAGCGGCCGCCAAAGCACGAAACGACUGCACCAUCGCCUUCUUCCUCUUCAUAGUUCCUUCGGGGAAAUUAAGAGUAUCAAGCGGAAGCGUGACGAACACCAGCGAACCGCACCGUCGAUGGUCAGUAGAAACUCCAUGCUGAAGCUCGUACUGGAGAUCGGCUUCGGAUUCAUUUGAUGAAGGCCCAGAGGACCGACAAGAGAACGUGAAUUGCCGAGAUUGAAGCCGAGUUUGGAUCGGCGGGAAUCGAAGUGAACGAGCUGAAGUUAAGUCAGUACGAGUACAGCAGAUAGAUGCCGAGAAAGACGGAGCCGAUGGCGAAGCGAUUGCCAUUGUUG
This 475-nucleotide unclassified non-coding RNA is filed under the name Hevea brasiliensis (rubber tree). The record is from RNAcentral. Lineage: Eukaryota; Viridiplantae; Streptophyta; Magnoliopsida; Malpighiales; Euphorbiaceae.